AGAUGGAGGCCUGUGGGUCCCCUCACGGGCAGCGCGCGGGUGGGCUCGAUGGCUGAGAAGGACGUUCCCCAUGCUGUGUGUGCCGGGGCCAGCCUGACUGAGUGGCUGAGUGACUGAGCAAAGCAGUAGAGGAAAAGAAUGGAAACCCCUUGGACUUCUCAUCUUGGAGGGAGGAGGACAUCUCUGAGGAAAUCAGGAAAGCACUGGUUGUAAGCAGGGAUAACUGCAAGAAGUGCUAGAGGACAGAAGGAGAAGAACAUCUGGCAUCUUGUCUGGAUGGUCACAGCAGUUCCUGGCCAUGCCCUCUUUGGAAGGGAGAACAGGUCAGCAAAAUGCUGCAAGCAGGAAAGCCCUUUCAGAUCCCUCUCUCCCAGAAGACAGCACCAGGUGUUUCUGCUGCUAAGUGUUGAAAGAGAAACACAGAGCCCUGAACUU
Long non-coding RNA from Passer domesticus (house sparrow), 435 nucleotides. RefSeq lists it as uncharacterized. The record is from RefSeq and is a predicted model, not a curated record. The transcript has 3 exons. NCBI's taxonomy places the organism in Eukaryota, Metazoa, Chordata, Aves, Passeriformes, Passeridae.